GCCCAGACUCCUACGGGAGGCAGCAGUGGGGAAUAUUGCACAAUGGGGGAAACCCUGAUGCAGCGACGCCGCGUGAGCGAUGAAGUAUUUCGGUAUGUAAAGCUCUAUCAGCAGGGAAGAAAAUGACGGUACCUGACUAAGAAGCCCCGGCUAACUACGUGCCAGCAGCCGCGGUAAUACGUAGGGGGCAAGCGUUAUCCGGAUUUACUGGGUGUAAAGGGAGCGUAGACGGUAUGGCAAGUCUGAAGUGAAAGCCCCGGGCUCAACCUGGGAACUGCUUUGGAAACUGUUAAACUAGAGUGCUGGAGAGGCAGGCGGAAUUCCUAGUGUAGCGGUGAAAUGCGUAGAUAUUAGGAAGAACACCAGUGGCGAAGGCGGCUUGCUGGACAGUAACUGACGUUGAGGCUCGAAAGCGUGGGGAGCAAACAGGAUUAGAUACCCGCGUA
This 446-nucleotide ribosomal RNA is filed under the name uncultured bacterium. Its description in RNAcentral is "bacterial SSU rRNA". It matches the Rfam family "Bacterial small subunit ribosomal RNA", at positions 329 to 792 of the family's 1533-position model. The record is from RNAcentral.